This 351-nucleotide ribosomal RNA is filed under the name uncultured Sphingobacteriales bacterium. Its description in RNAcentral is "partial 16S ribosomal RNA". It matches the Rfam family "Bacterial small subunit ribosomal RNA", at positions 1034 to 1382 of the family's 1533-position model. Lineage: Bacteria; Pseudomonadati; Bacteroidota; Sphingobacteriia; Sphingobacteriales. The record is from RNAcentral.
CAAGGUAGCUGCAUGGUUGUCGUCAGCUCGUGCCGUGAGGUGUCGGGUUAAGUCCCAUAACGAGCGCAACCCCUAUCAUUAGUUGCCAUCAGGUCAAGCUGGGGACUCUAAUGAAACUGCCUACGCAAGUAGUGAGGAAGGUGGGGAUGACGUCAAAUCAGCACGGCCCUUACGUCCGGGGCUACACACGUGCUACAAUGGCCGGUACAAAGGGUUGCGAAGCCGUGAGGUGGAGCGAAUCUCAAAAAGCCGGCCUCAGUUCGGAUUGGAGGCUGCAACUCGCCUCCAUGAAGUCGGAAUCGCUAGUAACCGCAGAUCAGCUACGUUGCGGUGAAUACGUUCCCGGGCCUU